This 1999-nucleotide long non-coding RNA is filed under the name Gallus gallus (chicken). The record is from RNAcentral. Lineage: Eukaryota; Metazoa; Chordata; Aves; Galliformes; Phasianidae.
GCCUGGGAGGUGAAGCUUGCAUCAUGGGAGAAGGAGUGGAAAAAACCCUGAACUUAAUAGGAUGUCCUGCUUCUCUUUCAAAUUCUUUACCUUCAUUUCUAUAAUUUUCAUAUCUGUCUUCAUAGAGGAGAAAGUAUGCUUCUAAGUCAAUGCAAACACCUGGUAAUUCAAGACAGCUAUUUAAACACCAAGCUAAUAGCAAUAUAUUAACAGAACUAUAGGAACACAAACGAUGAGGUGUGUGUGCAGCUACCGUAGGAAAUGCCACUCCAGGCUGGAUGCCUGUACCUUCGUGGGUCAGGACUGCUAUGUUCCUGCUCCAGGCAGUGUUUCACAGGUAUGGAACUGUCCUGCACUGCCACUUUCAGAUCUCUUGGCUUAUCUUAUAAAAGGAAUUCCAUAUCCCCUCUUUUUCCUGUGUUUUCAGGAGCUCUUUUCUCACUUUAGGAAGCAGUCAUUGGCUGAAACAUGGAUUUAAUAGACAGCUACAGCACCCCAUUGCCCCCCCAUCUCCUGUUGGUUACCAUCCAGGGCUUGAAACUCUCAGCCAAGUCUCCGGUGACGGGACAUAGCAGCAUUUGGCAGAUGCUUCAUCCGAUUGUCAUCUGUCAGGACUCUUUCCUGAUGUAGCUGAAGAAUAUUUGUGUGUGUUCUUCAGAACCCUGUGAGCAGCAAACUGCAUGGAGUGGAAAGGUCUGGGACUGAUGAGUUGGGCUGUGGCAGCUCAUGGGAGCCCCAGCCAGUGCAGCUCCCUGCACCCGGCCCAUUGCUGUCUGUAAAAAACAAUGAACUUAAAGUGUAAAUGGGACAUAGCAGACCAGAAAAUCAGGCCCUUACGAUUUAAAUGUUUCAUCAAUCAGUGAUAAGCCAUUGAUUCUGAGCUUAAAAUGCAGUGGGGAUUUAGCAGUUUGCUUCCAUGCUAUAUGGCAGUUUAUGACAGGAUGCAAUGCCGCUAAGAGAUGUAGCCAGGCAGAGUAAUUAUCUGAACUAGGAUUUGGUCAGGACACUCGUGUUAAAACAGGGUGCUCUGAAAAUUGGAUUGCUCACUGGAGUGUGUAAGUGUAGAUUUAUCAGACUAAGUUAAGGUGCUCAUUUGCUUAAAGAAGCAUAAUUUUUCAUACCUGUACUUAGAAUACAAGUGGAAUAAUAGAUGAGUUUGUUUAGGAAUUUUUAACCUGUUUAUUUAUUAUUGCUCUCCAAAAAUAGUGUUCUAUAAAUUAAGUACUAGGAGCAUGUAAACAAAUGGUUAGGACAAGAAAGAACAUUUUAUAACCAGACUGUACAAGUUCUGCUUGUAGGUGAAGAUGUGGAAGCAGAAGGGCUCCCUGUCUCUCUGUUCAGAGCUGAUGUCUGGGAAAUAGAGACUCUCCACAUGCAACUCUGCAACUCUAGCGGCUUCUGUAGUGUGAGAUAAGUGCUUCACCCCAUAUGCUCUUGCCUCACUGAGAUUAAAUCUCCCAGUUUCGCAUUAGAUAACAUAAUUGUCUGUAACAGUUUGUGGUUCUGCUCUGCCAUUCAGUCCCUGCGCUAGUGCUUGUGCGUGUACUGUAACGUGUGGCUUGAUGCGAUCGUGUCAGAGUAGGCAAGAUCAGGUACGUGCACGUGCACAUGUGAGAUCUGAGGUGUUCCCUCCUGUAAGAUCUCUUCCUAUAACAGCUAGCUCUAGCAGAUACUUGCAAGAGAAAUCUCUCUUUUGAGCAGAAUAACCAUAGGUUUGGCAAGAUUUUUCCAGUUCCUGACAAAGCCCAUUAGAGGUUUAGAAGAGGGCCAAUUUUACCUAAAUUUAGGCAGAAAUAAUAUUCUUCAAUGUCUCACCAGCUCUGAGUCUGUCCUACACAAAAUAUAAUUCAGGUUUUAAUGCAGGUAUUCAUAUUGUUUUUCUAUAUGAUCAGAAUGCCUCUUGUGGCCCUUUAAUGGGGAAAGACCUCUUAUUUUCAGCAUAGCAGUACACCACUGCUUCUUGCUUUUUUUUCCUCCUUGUUUGUUUCUUGUAGGAUGG